Long non-coding RNA from Passer domesticus (house sparrow), 2019 nucleotides. RefSeq lists it as uncharacterized. Lineage: Eukaryota; Metazoa; Chordata; Aves; Passeriformes; Passeridae. The record is from RefSeq and is a predicted model, not a curated record. The transcript is spliced from 2 exons.
UCAGACUUCAGAUCUUUAAUUAAAUCCUGUUCAGUUAUAAACACAGAAAGGGCUUUGCAGAGUUAGGCAUAUAUAGAUUAUAUACUGAAGAAAGAUCAAACUAGAACUUACUUCUAUGAUUUAUUUCUACCUGUCUACCUUUGUGCUGUUUUUCCUGUAAAGCUUUGUUUUAUUUCUUAUUAUGAACUCCCCUCUGUCCAAAUCUCUGACAGCUCAGCUCUUCUCCAUUAUCUCCUCACUAAUGCCACAACUACAAAAUUUCAGUUUAGGUUGCAAAAAUGACAGGAAAGAAAUUAAAUUAACCUGGAAUUUUAUUUACUAUCCAAUCCUCAAUUAUUUCUCAGUUUGUUUCUUGGGAAAAAAGAUUUUGGUGCUGGUUUGUGUGCAAAAAAAACUCAGUAGUGUCAGACACUAAUACAAGGGCAGUUUAAGCUUGAUUAUUUUCUGUCAAGCAGUAGAGAAGCUUCUUGUGUGGUCAGGGACAGAGACAGCCUCCAGCCUUCCCCCAUCCCUCCUUCUGCCAGGUAUCAGGACAAUCCUAUAUCAAAUAUCAGCUCUCUCCCAAUACAUAAGGAAUAUAACCAAAAGAAGUGCAUUUUAAAAAUGCUCAAAUCAUUCCCCAGGACUAAAAUGCAGCCAGGCAGUUAAAGCAGCAGGUGAAAGUUUGGGUUUGUUUCCCAGUUCAAAGAACUAAUGAACAUACCUUGCCAUACAUAGUCUUGAAAGCUGCCUUGAUUUGUUGCCUUUGAUCAUUGGAGCGGUUAGCAACAACAUUUAUGAUGGCCUGCUCAUCAGUUCCUUGGAAACAGAAAGGCAGUGUCAUGUAAGAAUGCAAUAUAGACCCUCCAAAACUGUGCAUUUUAUACUGUUCCAUUUGGGCAUCAUUAAAUAAUAAGAGACUGCUAUUUAAGUCCACCAAAUUUUCUGUGUAACUUCAUCUAAUAAAUAGCCUUGGCCAUUUUGAAAAGGUAACUUUUGAAAAGCUUAGGGGGGGGGGGGAGUGUAGUUAAAUAAACACUGAAGACAAGAACAAAAUGGCAUUAAGAAGUUAGAUCAAUGGGAACUAAAGCUUCUAUUUCUUACUUACCAAAACCCUUCAUAGCUUUGCGUAGGAUUUCUGCAUCCCUUCCGGCAUCGAAGUUUGGAGCAGCUUGAAUUGUACCCUGGGUACACUGAACCACUGCAGCAGGCUGAAAAUAAGAGUCACAGGUAACUAGAUAUCUACAAAAUGAAAAUUCAAAUUAAAAUCACAACUCUGCAAUCAGUACUUCAGAAGGAGUUCCCCAUUAGUUCUCCAUUUCUUCCUCUAACACAGAAUCAGGGCAACAUUACUCUGAGGGUAGAUGGAAACUCCUGAUGCAGAACAAAAUUGAAGCCUUUGGAAAUCAGCUGUAGAAACAUUAAAACUACAGAAGCACAUAAGAUUCCCUACAGAAAAGAAAACAGCACAUACCAGACCAGGCAUUGGGGAUGGUACUUGUCCACCAGGAAAUCCUAGUGAAAAUAAAGAACAAGUGUGUCAGGAGUCACUGUCAACACACAGAUCUGCAAAAUGCAAUUGAGAUUAACAGAACUGCUACAUACUCACUGAAUGUGUACUCUGGGUUUCACAGCUCUCAUCAAAUACUUGCAGUUUGAAAAAGGGUAAGCACCUAAACCACUACACCAUGACCAUUAUUCAGGGACAGCCAUCCCCUUUGGAUGUAGCACCUAGAGAUGGUUCUCCUCAGCCCUUCAGUAGCCUGGUCAAGAAAAGUGGCAGGAGGUGCACUGCAUAUAAACCUCAAGAGCUACAAGUAACAAAGGUAAGGGCUUAAUUUGUUACUACCUAUCCUGGAGUCUCUUGGUUUAACCAUGGAUGCUUGAAGUUUCUUAUAUAUGACAUACCUGGAAUUUGUGCUGGUCCACCUCCAGCAUAGCUUUGGGCAGGAGGCUGCUGUGGAUAGCCACCAAAGCCAGGCCCAGUGGGAGGCACAGCAAAGCCAGAGCCUGGAGGAGCCAGGGAAAAAAAACCAAAAC